GGGAUAAGCUCAAAUUUUAAAUCGGUUAGGUUCUACCUGAUUCGAGUUGUAAUUUGAAGAUUCGUUAUCUGCGUUCGGGUCGACCCAAGUCCUUUGGGAUAAGGCAUCAUGGAGGGUGAGAAUCCCGUUCGGUUGACCUUAGGACGCUUUACGAUACGUUUUC
This 163-nucleotide ribosomal RNA is filed under the name Glomerales sp. RNAcentral's name for it is "partial large subunit ribosomal RNA". It matches the Rfam family "Eukaryotic large subunit ribosomal RNA", at positions 100 to 258 of the family's 3401-position model. The record is from RNAcentral. Lineage: Eukaryota; Fungi; Glomeromycota; Glomeromycetes; Glomerales; Glomeraceae.